GAAACCGGGGCUAAUACCGGAUGGUUGUUUGAACCGCAUGGUUCAAACAUAAAAGGUGGCUUCGGCUACCACUUACAGAUGGACCCGCGGCGCAUUAGCUAGUUGGUGAGGUAACGGCUCACCAAGGCGACGAUGCGUAGCCGACCUGAGAGGGUGAUCGGCCACACUGGGACUGAGACACGGCCCAGACUCCUACGGGAGGCAGCAGUAGGGAAUCUUCCGCAAUGGACGAAAGUCUGACGGAGCAACGCCGCGUGAGUGAUGAAGGUUUUCGGAUCGUAAAGCUCUGUUGUUAGGGAAGAACAAGUACCGUUCGAAUAGGGCGGUACCUUGACGGUACCUAACCAGAAAGCCACGGCUAACUACGUGCCAGCAGCCGCGGUAAUACGUAGGUGGCAAGCGUUGUCCGGAAUUAUUGGGCGUAAAGGGCUCGCAGGCGGUUUCUUAAGUCUGAUGUGAAAGCCCCCGGCUCAACCGGGGAGGGUCAUUGGAAACUGGGGAACUUGAGUGCAGAAGAGGAGAGUGGAAUUCCACGUGUAGCGGUGAAAUGCGUAGAGAUGUGGAGGAACACCAGUGGCGAAGGCGACUCUC
RNAcentral lists this ribosomal RNA (591 nucleotides) under Bacillus subtilis. RNAcentral's name for it is "bacterial SSU rRNA". It matches the Rfam family "Bacterial small subunit ribosomal RNA", at positions 153 to 729 of the family's 1533-position model. The record is from RNAcentral. Lineage: Bacteria; Bacillati; Bacillota; Bacilli; Caryophanales; Bacillaceae.